UACGUAGGGUGCAAGCGUUAUCCGGAUUCAUUGGGCGUAAAGGGCUCGUAGGCGGUUCGUCGCGUCCGGUGUGAAAGUCCAUCGCUUAACGGUGGAUCCGCGCCGGGUACGGGCGGGCUUGAGUGCGGUAGGGGAGACUGGAAUUCCCGGUGUAACGGUGGAAUGUGUAGAUAUCGGGAAGAACACCAAUGGCGAAGGCAGGUCUCUGGGCCGUUACUGACGCUGAGGAGCGAAAGCGUGGGGAGCGAACAGG
Molecule: ribosomal RNA, 253 nt
Filed under: uncultured bacterium
Lineage: Bacteria
Description: partial 16S ribosomal RNA
Rfam family: Bacterial small subunit ribosomal RNA
Source: RNAcentral